This is a long non-coding RNA of Papaver somniferum (opium poppy), 1507 nucleotides long. RefSeq lists it as uncharacterized. NCBI's taxonomy places the organism in Eukaryota, Viridiplantae, Streptophyta, Magnoliopsida, Ranunculales, Papaveraceae. The transcript has 3 exons. The record is from RefSeq and is a predicted model, not a curated record.
UCCCAAGUUCCCAACGACAGCCAUCACCACCACUAUCACCGUCGUUUCUCCACCAUUUCUUUCUGCCGCCAGUUAAUGAUGAUGGUGGUGGAUAUCAAAACUCUAUUUGUCUAUCCAUUUAAAUGAUUUUUCUUUCUAGAUUCACAAUCUUCUGUUCAAUUAGUUGAUGACGAUGGUGGUGGUGGUGGCGAUGGUGCAGAAGGAUGUCAAAUAUAUGUUUUAUUAGUUGAUGGUGGUGGUGGUGGAGACCUAAUUCAUUAAUCGAUGGCGAGUAAUUCAUUAUGUGAUAUACGUUCCUCACCAUAGAAAGAAUUUUUGCUUUCGUUCAUCUUCAAUUUGGGGUUCGAUUUCAACUAAUUUUUUUCGAUUCGUUCGGGCUAACAUCUCUUCCAUUUUACAGGUAUGAUUUUGAUUUUUUUUUCUUUUUAGUUUGAUUUGAUUUUGUUGUGCACUAUGGGUUACAACUUUGUUUUCAGGUUGGUGUGAAGCAAGAAUAUAAAAUGUGGAAGGAAGGAAUUGGGAGUAUAUUGUAUAGAUGGGGCAUAUAUGAUAGAUGUUUUGAGUAGGGACUGAUCUAGAUGAGUUUUUAGAUUGAGCUGAUAAUUACAUCUGGUUGACAAAGGGGAGCAUUAUCCAUUCGAAAUACAUAUUUACAUUGGACUUUGCUAGGGAAUAAUACUAUAAUCAUAACCUAGAAUGCUUGUUCAUCAGGGACUUUAUAAACAAAUGUUUCGAUAAAAGUGGUCAUGUCUAAUGGUUCCUAAUAGUGUUUUUAAUUUUGAAUAAGCAAAUGUUCGUUCAUGGCAAGUGGUUUAACCUCAUUCUCAUGUCUUGCAUUUGAAUGAAUGGAGCUUGCUCUUUGGAAAGACAUGGUGAAGACCACUAAGUUGAAGGAGCUCGCUCAUCACGAUGCCGAGUGGUAUUUGCCUCCUGAAUAUUUUCGACAUGGAAAAGUAUCGGAUAAACGGAUGUAUAUGCACUUGGUGUGGUACUGUUAGAGCUAAUAACAGGCCAUGGACUUAUUGAGUCAAAAAGAGCUAUAGGAGAUGAGAAUCUAGUUUUAUGGGUACAUGAGAGAUGAUUAAUUUCCUUUUUGGGUCGCAUUUGUUGUUGGUUUUUCAGUUCUUGAUCCUUGCAAACUAUAUGGUCUCUCAAGAUGAACCUGUGGUGUAAUGGUAUCACACCUGACUAAAGUCAGAAAAUGCGUGUUCAAUUCACGCCAGGUUCACUACUUUUAGUACUUCAAUUUUGAGGAUCAAUUUUGGUUGUUGGCACUAGAUUUUGGGGUCAACUUUAGUUGUUGACACCAUGUUUUGGGAUCAACUUUGGUUGUUGACACCAUACAUAGUCUGAACAUUUUCUGUAUUUUUAAUUUAAAGGAUCAACUUCAGUUGUUGACAAUAUGAUUCUUUUUUAUUAUUUUCUAAUUGUUUUUGGGGAUCAAUUUUGGUUGUUGACACUAGAUUUUGGGGUCAACUUUAGUUGUUGACACCAUAUUUUAGGAUCA